Molecule: non-coding RNA, 81 nt
Organism: Xiphophorus maculatus (southern platyfish)
Lineage: Eukaryota; Metazoa; Chordata; Actinopteri; Cyprinodontiformes; Poeciliidae
Source: Rfam
AGCCGCUGAUGAAAAAGCAAACAUUUUUCUGACACCUCAUAUGAGAGCUAAGCUCAUGAUUCUAAAUCUGUUCUGAGGCUU